Molecule: ribosomal RNA, 567 nt
Filed under: Triticum aestivum (bread wheat)
Lineage: Eukaryota; Viridiplantae; Streptophyta; Magnoliopsida; Poales; Poaceae
Description: partial small subunit ribosomal RNA
Source: RNAcentral
AUGCCGCCCAGCCCGCACCUCUCAGUCUACUCUCCAAAACCACCAAAAUCUCCAUCCAAGAUCCAACUGCUCCACCACUCCAAUCUCCCUCUCAUAGCGACGGCCACCGCGACUCGGCCCAGCGGCCCGGUACUGUCGACCCCGAGCUACCGCUCCGCCUCGCCCACCCGCGUCAAGCUCGCCACCGGCAGCGCCACCCGCUCGCCGGGCAAGUCCGUCAGCGUCUCGUCCCCGCCCUCCACCAGGAGCCGUCGGUCCUCCUGCAUGUGCUCCCCGACGAACCACCCGGGCUCCUUCCGCUGCAGCCUCCACAAGGAGCGCAAGCAGGCGGCCCCCGCCGGCAGCAGCACCAGGCCCGCCUCCCCGCCUUCCCCGCCGUCCACCUCGAAGAGCACGGGCGGCGCGCUGGCGCGGCUCGUCCCCAUAGGGAGCGGGCACUGGGCACGCAGGGCGCUCGCGCCGUCCCCCGCGGCGCAGCAGUCGCUGCAGCACCGGAGGCGCGCGGGCGGAUUCCGUCCCCGACCGAGCCGGCUCUCCGCCGUGUCCACGGCCGGCGACAGCCAGUAA